AAGAAGAAGACGAUAUAUUUAUAUAUUUAGAAAAAAUUUAACUUUUAACUUUAAUAUAUUAUUUUGCAUGUGCAGCACGGAUUUGUCUAUCGUGAAAACAACAAGUCACCAGGAUACUAUGAUGGCAGGUCAGUACCAAAUCCACAAUAUUUUAGUUAAAUUAUAGAUAUAUGUACGCAGAUCUUGAAAAGAAGUACAAAAUCAUGUUUCGAGACCAUGUUUUAGAAGAACGAAAUCUUGAAUUUUAAAUCCUGAAUCCGGUACUGAUGCAGAUACUGGACCAUGUGGAAGCUACCUAUGUUCGGAUGCACUGAUGCCACCCAAGUGUUGGCUGAGGUAGAAGAGGCGAAGAAGGCAUACCCACAGGCCUGGAUCCGUAUCAUUGGAUUCGACAACGUGCGUCAAGUGCAGUGCAUCAGUUUCAUCGCCUACAAGCCAGAAGGCUACUAAGUUUCAUAUUAGGACAACUUACCCUAUUGUCUGACUUUAGGGGCAGUUUGUUUGAAAUGUUACUUAGCUUCUUUUUUUUUCUUCUUCCCACAAAAAUUGUUUUAUGUUUCCUACUUUCUAUUCGGUGUAUGUUUUUGGAUUCCUACCAAGUUAUGAGAACUAAUAAUAAUUAUGAUUUGGUGCUUUGUUUGUAAAUUUUGUUGUUUCACAUUCGUGUGGCGUAUAUGAGUUUCAUCUUGAUAAUAUCUGCAAAUCUUAAAUGCAAAUUAUGGUCCACACACGCACCAUAAAACACCCUCACUCCAACCAAUUUCAGAUGAUAGAAAAAUUUCAAGAUGCUCGAUAGCUACAUUUUUUAUAUACAAUAAUAGUCUAUUUGGCCAAGCUUCUAUAAUCAGUUUAUUUUGAAAAAUAUUUUUUUCAAAAAUACUUUUGUUGAGAAGCAGCUCGUGAUUGACUAAUUAAUCUGAAAAGUACUUCUGAGUAACAAAUAGUGAUUGGCCAAGCUGUAAAAAAGUAUUUCUAAGUUAUUUUUCUCAAAAAUAUUUUUCAAAAAAGUGUUUCUGGAGAGAAACUACUUUUUUCGGCGUCUCCAAAACUGUUUUUGCUUCUACUUAAAAGCACUUUUAUAUAUAAAAGCUUAGCCAAACACUUUAACUUUGAAAAAAAUAUUUUUUUUGAGAAAAAAAAGUGCUCUUGAUCUUGGAAAAGCUUGGCCAAACAAGCUAUAAGUGUCUAAUAGAUGGUGGAAAAAAGUGUCUAACAGAUAAAGGCCUCAAUUAAGGUGUCUAAAUGAAACUUGGUGACAAUUUUAAGGGAUUAUCAAUGUAUUUGACAUUUUAGGUAAUAUCUCCUGUCCUAAAUGCAAAUGGUCCAUGCAACCCCCCAACCACUUUGAGAUUAUGAAAGUUAUUCCACCAUUCCUUGAGUGUUUUUCAGAGACCAACUAUGUUGAUCAACAAUAUAGUGUUUCCAAAUACCUAAAUAUAUAUAGUGGUCAGUUGCAGUCAGUGGGUGUUGAGCAUUAUUGGCCUCCGGAACCAUUUAAAAUGGUGUGUAACAAGUCCUAUUUGCGUAAAAAAUAGGUGCAGAAGAGAACGCGUAUACGAAACCAAAUGGAUGUUAGUGAUACUGUUUAUGCGCGCAAAUGUGGUAUAUGCUCGCAAACAGGACACGACCGUAGAAAAUAUCCUUUGGGUGGAAUCAGUAAUCA
Molecule: long non-coding RNA, 1663 nt
Filed under: Nicotiana tabacum (common tobacco)
Lineage: Eukaryota; Viridiplantae; Streptophyta; Magnoliopsida; Solanales; Solanaceae
Description: long non-coding RNA (NTAB_LNC003609)
Source: RNAcentral